GCGGAUGCUAACGCAAUGU
Molecule: small nuclear RNA, 19 nt
Filed under: Arabidopsis thaliana (thale cress)
Lineage: Eukaryota; Viridiplantae; Streptophyta; Magnoliopsida; Brassicales; Brassicaceae
Description: snRNA_09458
Source: RNAcentral